Long non-coding RNA from Carassius carassius (crucian carp), 655 nucleotides. RefSeq lists it as uncharacterized. The record is from RefSeq and is a predicted model, not a curated record. The transcript has 3 exons. Lineage: Eukaryota; Metazoa; Chordata; Actinopteri; Cypriniformes; Cyprinidae.
GUGUGUGUCACAAAUACAAGCCUGACCAGGACUACAACAUGAGCGACGCAGAGGCAGCAGGGGGCCAGGGCACACGCUCUGCAGGGACAGUACUGAUUCACACGGUGCUGGAAGGGGGUGAAGCCAAAAGCCAGUGUUAAUUGAAGCCUAGCAGAAAAGGGAGCAAAACCAAGGCCGUUUAUCCACCAGUCAGUGCAGAGCCACCAGCUUUGAGUAUGAAAAAGAGGAACGGAAAGAGAAAAAAGCAUCCCAUUUCAUCUCUGCAGGAACAUGACGGAGGAAUAAAAGCCAUACUAAAGUUCAAUGGUGCCUGUGAGUUUCUCUUCCUCCCGCAAUUUGUCACAAGCUGAGAGGUCCAUCCGAUUGGUGCACUCAGUUGUCCGGAUGAGUGCCUGAGGGGUUCGGUCAGGCACACAGAUACAAUUCUGCAACAUGGUUCAGCAGCUCGCCAUGUGCCAUGCAGCUGGAAGUUUGAAAGCAGAAGGCCACAGUCCCUGAGAGUAUUUGGUAGGAGUCGAGUCAUUUAAUAGGUUUUUGUAUGACAAUUUAAAGCCAACAAAAGUAUCUAAAGUGCAUUUACUUGGUACCAAAUGAUGCCUAAUUUUUUUGUCACAAUUGAUGAUUAUGCACUUAUAAAACAUAAUGUGGAAUAAUA